This is a long non-coding RNA of Brassica oleracea var. oleracea, 1233 nucleotides long. RefSeq lists it as uncharacterized. NCBI's taxonomy places the organism in Eukaryota, Viridiplantae, Streptophyta, Magnoliopsida, Brassicales, Brassicaceae. The record is from RefSeq and is a predicted model, not a curated record. The transcript has 4 exons.
UUCGGAGCUUCUUCUUCUUUGACCGUCUUCAUCGUCUCUAUUCCUCUCUUUUUCACUACAACAACCAGAACGAUAUGUAACGCCUUCUCCCUUCUCAUUAAGUUUCACCAUUAACUCGAAGUUCUCCUACUACGUCAAAUUUAAUUACUUUUCUCCUCACCUCCUUUUCAAAUCCCUAAUUUUCUAUACUAUAAAUAAUGAUGCAACCAUCUCCAAAUCUCACUGCUUCACCAGAUUCUUUACCGAUCGUCCUUACAAGCACAUCCUAUAACAAUGGUGGGAUCCCUUUUGUUCUUUCCGAUUUGAAGGCGAGUCCGUGUUCUCAAACGGUGGUGACGCGUCUCCUACAUUGAAGCGCGCAAUACGAAGAAAAUCUGUGAGCUGAUGGAUGUAGUCAUGCUCCUCCUUGAUGAAAAGUCAACACGUCUCCAAAGUUCCAUAUUUGUUCAUCGCCUAAGGAAGGAAACUCUGGCCUCUCGCUUCAAGACCGUGUGAAGCUACAGCUUGCUUUAGCCAAAGAAUAUGGUGUUAACAGAGAGCAAGUCCGAGAACUCAUUAGGCAAUAACUUGUACUUGAGAAUCCACCCAAUAAACCUUAUGUUUUUGUAUUUUUAUUUAUACUCUUCAAUAGAUUUCUCUCUUGAUGAACGAGCGCUCUUUAGGUGACGAUGGAGAGCUUCGUUCUACAAAUAAUGAGGCUUUAUCUACUGUUUCCUAUCGCAUUGAGUGGAAUAUGAGACAUGCUCUCAAGCCAACGUUUGAAACUCUCUUUCAGAUGUUAAAUACUCAAUCCUGUUGAUCUUCAUUAGUCAUACUACGGAUGUGGCUUAGUCCUGCUACUUUAAAGCUUCAUCAAAUCACUUGGAAUGAUUAUGCUUCCUUGCUUGAGAAAACUUUUGCUUAUGAGGUGAUGAUCUGCCAGGAGCUACAUGUGUGUCCUGCAUCUGCUCUAAAAGCCACAAGUCGUCUGCAACUGAUCAGGCCACCGGCAGUGAUGGCGUCCACUUACUGAAACAGCAGUAGCUGAGCACCACACAGUUGGGAGCUCAGCAAAUGAGCCACAUGUUUCAACAACAGAGAGGGAGUUUAAGAAAGAACCCAAAGCAUAGAUGCUGAAGAUAGCCAAAUGAAGGCUCCUCCACUUUCUCGCAAGCUUUUUUCCUUUUAGUUUCUUUAAAAAAACCUAUGGUUCUACGUUCACGUUUCCUAUAUUCUAAAUGAAUAAAAUCAUAU